UACGUAGGGGGCGAGCGUUGUCCGGAAUCAUUGGGCGUAAAGCGCGUGUAGGCGGUCCGGUAAGUCCGCUGUGAAAGUCGGGGGCUCAACCCUCGGAUGCCGGUGGAUACUGUCGGGCUUGAGUACGGAAGAGGCGAGUGGAAUUCCUGGUGUAGCGGUGAAAUGCGCAGAUAUCAGGAAGAACACCCGUGGCGAAAGCGGCUCUCUGGAACGGUACUGACGCUGAGACGCGAAAGCGUGGGGAGCAAACAGG
RNAcentral lists this ribosomal RNA (253 nucleotides) under uncultured bacterium. RNAcentral describes it as "partial 16S ribosomal RNA". It matches the Rfam family "Bacterial small subunit ribosomal RNA", at positions 524 to 776 of the family's 1533-position model. The record is from RNAcentral.